RNAcentral lists this transfer RNA (70 nucleotides) under Chloroflexota bacterium. Its description in RNAcentral is "Chloroflexi bacterium tRNA-OTHER". It matches the Rfam family "tRNA". From Rfam's summary of the family: Transfer RNA (tRNA) molecules are approximately 80 nucleotides in length. Their secondary structure includes four short double-helical elements and three loops (D, anti-codon, and T loops). The record is from RNAcentral. Lineage: Bacteria; Bacillati; Chloroflexota.
GAAGUAGCUCAGCCGGGAGAGCGGUCGCCGCGGCGACAAGUCGGGGGUUCGAGUCCCCCCGGCUCCACCA